This 30-nucleotide non-coding RNA is filed under the name Rattus norvegicus (Norway rat). The record is from RNAcentral. Lineage: Eukaryota; Metazoa; Chordata; Mammalia; Rodentia; Muridae.
UUCCAAGUUGAAGCCAUUGGAAACACUUGG